RNAcentral lists this long non-coding RNA (205 nucleotides) under Mytilus galloprovincialis (Mediterranean mussel). Lineage: Eukaryota; Metazoa; Mollusca; Bivalvia; Mytilida; Mytilidae. The record is from RNAcentral.
GUUCUCACAAUAUCUUGGUUAUAUCUUAGAGUAUAUUUUAACAAAAUCGUCUGUUUUUCCAUUUCUUUCACAAUUACAGGAAACAGACUUUUGACAGGGGGCGCGAAAUCUGGUGCGCAUAUAUUGUACAACUCGUUUCAGGACUUAUUUCUCCGGAAAAUCUCAUGAUAAAUAUAUCCGACAAGAUUGCCCUCGCAGUGGCGGA